CCAACAGGGAUUGCCUCAGUAACGGCGAGUGAAGCGGCAAGAGCUCAGAUUUGGAAUCCGGCAGGCUAUGUUUGCCCGAGUUGUAAUCUGGAGAUAGGGCUUCGGUUUAGGCAUUGGUCAAGAUUCCUUGGAAUAGGAUGACACAGAGGGUGAGAACCCCGUACCUGGCUGACCGCCGACACCAUGUGAGGCCUCUUCGACGAGUCGAGUUGUUUGGGAAUGCAGCUCUAAAUGGGUGGUAAAUUCCAUCUAAAGCUAAAUAUCUGCGAGAGACCGAUAGCGCACAAGUAGAGUGAUCGAAAGAUGAAAAGCACUUUUGAAAAGAGAGUUAAAAAGUACCGUGAAAUUGUUGAAAGGGAAGCGCUU
This 366-nucleotide ribosomal RNA is filed under the name uncultured fungus. RNAcentral describes it as "LSU rRNA". It matches the Rfam family "Eukaryotic large subunit ribosomal RNA", at positions 65 to 424 of the family's 3401-position model. Lineage: Eukaryota; Fungi. The record is from RNAcentral.